UGAGUAGUCAGCAUGCACAAAAAUGCCAGGGGAGUUGGACCAGAUGGCCUUUACAAGUCUCUUCCAACUCGAACGAUUCUAUGAUAAGGGGGAGAGAGCCCAUCUGAGGUUGUGUCUGUCCUGAGAGCGCCAUGGCAGGCAAUCCCUGCAGCCUUCAGACCCAAACGAGCCAGCAGAUCCUGGUUUGUACACCAACGUGCACAGGAAUAGAAUGACGAUUCAUGCAGGGGAGCAGGAUAUUAGAUACAAAUAAGAAGUCUUUCUUUUGCUAAAAAUAUGAAUUCUUCCCCCUGUGAACAGACAGGCAAUAAAGGUGCCAUCUCCCCCCUGUACGCACACCCACAGGACCAAGGGUUCACCUCCUUCCACGAGACAGAGCACACAGCAGCGUGUCCCCAGAGGGCUUUCAGGAGACACGAGCAUCCUUGCAGUAGGAGUGCUGAGCCCUACCAGGGAGGGGCAGCUGCUUCCCAAACCUCCCCUCACUGCUCCACAUAGGGCUUCCUGCCCAAGCUGCACCUGCUCCUUGGAUCACCCUCAGCAAAUCAAGCUGAGUGCUGAAGGGGAAGGCUGAAUCCCCAUGGAGUCGCAUCUCACAAUAUGACUGAAAACCCCAUAUUUUAGGGCAAAAGCCUCCUCC
Molecule: long non-coding RNA, 640 nt
Filed under: Gallus gallus (chicken)
Lineage: Eukaryota; Metazoa; Chordata; Aves; Galliformes; Phasianidae
Description: long non-coding RNA NONGGAT007885
Source: RNAcentral